AUCCAGGUGUCAUUCAUGGGUUUGGGUACAUUUCCUAACACUUCACUAACUCUGGUGUAGGAUGCUGAUUAAAUGCUAAGAAAUGUGAAUUUAGGAGAAAAAAUGAACUUGAAGCUGCGAGUCUAAGAGAGAAAUAUUAGUAGCAAAUACACAAUAAAAAUGCAGUUGUUGGUGGGGGGGAUUCAGAGCAGUGGGGGCACUGCCUCUAGGAAGUGUUGGGAGUGGGAUGAGCGAGGCUGGAUAGCCCAGGAUGCAGAGGGGUGAGGGAGAGACAGGAGUGGGAAGUGAACAGAAGCACCUGAGCCUCAGGCAGAAGUCUUGGGGACAAAAUAAUUAAGAUAUUUUUCUGCUUAAGAAAGCAUGGGACCUGCUAAAAGCACUUUGUUUUUUUCCCCUCCAGCAGGACCAAGCUGGCCAGAGAAGAGGUUUGGUAAAUCCAAGCUUUGAAGCAGCUCAGGUCCAUCAAGCCAUGGCUUCCCCAGGAAAAGCCUUUUCUCUACCUUGUCUGCUGGCUGCUGAAGGAAGGGCAAGUUCUCCUCCAGCUGAUCCAGUCCUUUGCAGGCAUAUUCAUUCACAAGUGCAACUAGAAGAGACAACAGCUCUCAAAAACUGGUUUGAAAGCAUCAAUUAAGCUUCCUGUUGUCUGUCUGCAAGAUCGGCGGGGGAGGAAACUGAGGCACAGGGAACUGGGAUUCAAGACAUGAGUCCUGUGUGUUUUUUUCUGGGUGUUGGCCUGACAUGGACAGUGCUGCUUCCUCAGAUUAAGUGUCAGGGAUCAAACUGUCUGGGUUCAUGGAUGUGAAGUGCCCAAGUGGGCCAGUUGUGGUGGUGAUGGUGAAAGUCUCGUGAGACAGGUUGUAUUUCAUCACCUAAGUGGGUGAUCCACGAGACACCUUCAUGUGGCUGCAGUGGGGCACAGAGGAAUGUGAGCAGAAGUGGCAAGUGGCACAUUAACACAAGUGUUAAUUAUAAUUAACCAGGCAGUGUUUAAUAUCUAAUGAGUGGCUUUGAUAGUAGGGUAAAAUACCGAUGCCCAGAGCUCCUGCUUGGGGGUAGAACAGGCUCAGAACACUGAAUUUUGGGGGUUGCAACACCAGGGCAAAGCCUUGCCUGAUCAUCUCUGUGCCCCUUGUUACUGCCUAAAAUCCAGAGAUUUAAAUCUGAGCUAAAACCAGCCCAGAGAGGUUUGGUGGGUGUGGGAAGGGCGUGGGAGGAAGCGGAGAAACACGUUUGGGGAAGGGAAAGGGAGCAGUGUGGGCUGGAGCGUCAGGAACUGCUGCCCUGUGCAAAGCUGCAGCUUUGAGACACGGGGCAGAACCCUCCAGGUGGCUGAGAGGUGUAACCCCCACCUCCUGUGCCUGUCAGGAGCCAGGAGAUCCCCCCCUCUGCAGCCCUGCAGCUUUACAGCUCUCCUUCCAGCUGCCUCCUGGCUCUGCCUGGGGACAAACCCUCUCCAGCCUCGUGCUUCUCCCUUGGCCCAGUCCUGCUUGGAUUUCUGUUGAGCAGAAACCCUGCAGGGACGUGAAGGAUUUGGAGGAUCAGGCCCUUCUCCUGGGUCCCAGCUGUUGGGAGCAGCUCCCUUUCCCUGCUCUGAGCUGCGUCACAGCUCAACAUUGUCCCUUUGGGGACCGGAGGCCACAUGUGACACUGGAGUUCCCCGUCUGCAACCAUUCCUCUGCUGCAAAGGAAAUGAUCUCCCUGAUCUCCCGAGGCAUUUACUCCACGAGGACCUGCCAGGAGCCCAUGGUCACCUGCCCUGGGGCGGGCACAGGCACGAGAGGUGGUGAUUCAGGGCUGAGCCAUGUGUUGCUUUGAUUCUGCUCCCUGGUUAAACCCUUGGGCUUCCAGCAACCUGCCUGAGCAGCUCUGUGUGGCUGAGCCUCCAGCACAGCCUUGGCUGGAGCCCACUGAGGGGAUGAGGUUGGCUCAGUGUCACUCCUUGCUGUGCCAAGCCCUCAAGGUGUUUGCUGACAGCCCCAUCUCUUCACUUCAUCAGCUUCCUCACAUUCCUGUUUUCCUCUCCUCCACCAUUUUGCCUCGUGGUCCUCGGGGAAGGGGUGCCAGGAAUAGUUUCAGCUGGUCACAUCACCUCAAAAAACUCUUUCUUUCCCCUCGUGCUCCAGCUUCCUGCACUGCAGCAGUUGGUGCUCACUGGAGCACCUUAGGGGGCUUACUUAAGUUGAGUUAAACACCACUUAGGGAAUGUUGAGUGUCCUUGAGAUGGUCCAGCAGGGCUGGGGGUCGGGAUUCAGAGCAGAGGGAUGGAGGCAGGGCCGUGGCAGGAGGAGAUUCCUUGCAGGAUCCUGCCUGUCAGCUUCUCUCCCUAGUCUUUGCCUGAUGACCUCUGAAGGCAACAGCCCUCAAAGUGCCCUGGCCUCCUUGAAAACAACCCUCCAGGGACUACCAAAAGCUUCAGCCCAGCUCCUGCCUCCCAGCCAACCUUCCUGGUCCCUCCUGGUCCUUCAGAGCAUCCUCCUGAUUCAGGACACGCUGCAGCUCUCUGCUGCCCUCCCCCUGCAUCAGCUCAAAAGGACUCUCCUGUCUCCUGUGCCUGGAUUCCCAGCUCACCUGGAGGGUUCUCCAGCCCCUUCUUCCCUUCCAGCAGCUCACCCGAGUUCUCCAGCCCCUGUUCCCUUUCCAGCCCCUUCUUUCCUUCCAGCAGUAGCCCUGGGUCCCUCAGCCCCUGCUCCCCUUCCAGCAGCUCAUCCAACAGGCAGGUGGUGGCAGGUUCCUGCUCCCCUUCCAGCUGCUGUGCCCUCGUGGAAGGGAACAGCCUGAUGGUUCCUGGCUGCUCUCCCAGUACUCCAGUUCACCUUUCUGCUGCUUUUCAGGCUGCAGGAUGGUUUCCUGCAUGCCCAGCUGCUCCCCCCUCUGCUCCUGCACUUUUGCCUCCUACCUGAGGUAGAGGUGAGGUGGGGUCACUUAAUGCUGGUUGUUUUUGGUGGGUGAGAGAGGGGAUGUCACCUGGGCCUGCCAAAUGUGUCCCCUCCAUCUCAGGUCCUUGCUGAGCCCCUACUUUUGCUUCCCCAGAGACACAGGCCUCCUUUGCACUCCCCAGUCUUGGAGUUUGGCCAAGCUUUACCCCAGUUCUUUUGGAAAUUGGGCUCUGGAUCAUCCCAGAAAACAUGUGGGAACUGGAACACACCUGCACUGCUCCCCCUUUCCUGUGGCCCCACUGCUUCCCCUGGGGGAAGGUUUCUCUCUGUGCUCCUUGUGACAGGACUGAAUCAUCCCUUGGCCUUGGGAACAGCUAUGCAAGGAAUAUGUGUUUGUAAAAGCAUAAAUGUCAGUGCCUGUGUCCUGCUUUUGGCUGGGAUGGAGUUAAUUUUCCUCCCAGUAGCUGUGUUUUGGAUUUAGGAUGGGAGCAGUGUUGAUAACACACCGAUGUUGUGGUUGUUGCUGAGUUGUGCUUACUCUGAGUCAAGGAAUUCUCAGUUUCCCAGGGGCUCAAGGAGCUGGGGGGGAGCACAGCCAGGACAACUGAGGGAUAUUCCAUUCCAUAAACACCCUGCCCAGUAGAGAAACAGGGAAGGGGCCAACUGGGGCCAAUCCCCCUGCUGUGGGACGAGUCAGUGGGUGCUGAGCAACUGUUGUGCUGCUCUUGUUUCCCUUGGGUUUCAUUCCUCCCUUUCUCCUUUUCACUACAGUUAUUAGAAUUAUUAUCAUUACUAUUAUUAUAAUUCUUCUUCACCCAAGACUUGUUUUAAUCAGCUGGUGGUUCUCAUGUACAGGCCUGGACUUUGGUUUCUCCUAAAACAUUGUGCCAAAACUUCACUUUGAGCAAUAGUCCCAUGGCCUGGGAGUCUGUCAGAACUUUGUCCUGCUAAGUGCAUCUCUUUGGAAAUGAAUUCAACAAUUCUUUAAGGUUCCCUAAACUGAACUGGAUGUCCCUGCUGGCAGAAUUCAUAUUGUUUCCUCGUACCAGGUGGCAAAACAGUGUUUUCAGUCAGAAUUGGAACUCCAAAGGAAAGAAAGGCCUAAAAGAGUCCAAAAGGGAGGGAAAUAAAGCUCAUCACUGCAUUACAACCCAGCCAUGUUCCUUAUUCUGACAGUUUGUGGACACUUGAUCCUCCCAGGCCUUUAUCUCGCUGAGUUCUGGUUAAGCUACUCCAGCUUUAGUAGAAGAGGGGACCUUAAGAGCAGAGCAUAAAUAAUUGAGCCUCUAAUGAAAUCAAUGUUCCACUACUAGAAUGAUCUAGAAUUGAGCCAUAUUUUAAGUUUCAUUGAACCUUAAUUUAAGUGGUUUGGGGCCCCAGCUGAGGAGUGUGUAGGAUGCAGCACCGUGUUUGCUGUGUGGGGAUUCACUGAAUGAGUAAAAACUUCUCUAGAAA
Pseudopipra pipra is the source of this 4331-nucleotide long non-coding RNA. RefSeq lists it as uncharacterized. The transcript has 4 exons. The record is from RefSeq and is a predicted model, not a curated record. NCBI's taxonomy places the organism in Eukaryota, Metazoa, Chordata, Aves, Passeriformes, Pipridae.